This 371-nucleotide ribosomal RNA is filed under the name uncultured organism. Its description in RNAcentral is "bacterial SSU rRNA". It matches the Rfam family "Bacterial small subunit ribosomal RNA", at positions 526 to 897 of the family's 1533-position model. The record is from RNAcentral.
CGUAGGGUGCGAGCGUUAAUCGGAAUUACUGGGCGUAAAGCGUGCGCAGGCGGUUUGUUAAGAUAGGCGUGAAAUCCCCGGGCUCAACCUGGGAACUGCGCUUAUGACUGGCAAGCUAGAGUACGGCAGAGGGGGUGGAAUUCCACGUGUAGCAGUGAAAUGCGUAGAGAUGUGGAGGAACACCAAUGGCGAAGGCAGCCCCCUGGGUCGAUACUGACGCUCAUGCACGAAAGCGUGGGUAGCAAACAGGAUUAGAUACCCUGGUAGUCCACGCCCUAAACGAUGUCAACUAGGUGUUGGGAGGGUAAAACCUUUAGUACCGGAGCUAACGCGUGAAGUUGACCGCCUGGGGAGUACGGCCGCAAGGUUAA